This 227-nucleotide long non-coding RNA is filed under the name Trifolium pratense (red clover). RNAcentral's name for it is "long non-coding RNA (TPRA_LNC003966)". Lineage: Eukaryota; Viridiplantae; Streptophyta; Magnoliopsida; Fabales; Fabaceae. The record is from RNAcentral.
AAAUUUUUGAGUUUUUUUUAUAAGUAAAAAAUAUUAUUAUAAGGCAGUAUAAACACCACCAACCAGGAACUUUGCCUACAAGACAUCAGGUCUAAACACCACCAACCAGGAAAUGGAAUUCAAGCAUUGCGCCCAUAACGACGAGAAAACCAUAGCAAAGAAAAAAGCUUAAAUUUUUUGUGGGGUUUAAUAGAAACAUCGGGGGACAAAUUCCUAAAGUUAGGGGG